GAAUCCGCUAAGGAGUGUGUAACAACUCACCUGCCGAAUGGAUUAGCCCUGAAAAUGGAUGGCGCUCAAGCGCGUGGCCGACACCAUGCCGUUGGAAUUAGACAAAAAAAUGUCCAAUGAGUAGGAGGGCGCAGGGGUGCUGGGGAAGUUCAGGCGCAAGCUUGGAUGGAAGCGCCUCUGGUGCAGAUCUUGGUGGUAGUAGCAAAUAUUCAAGCGAGAUCCUUGAAGGGCGAAGUUGGGGAAGGGUUCCACGCGAACAUUGAUUGGACGUGGGUGAGUCGUUCCUAAGCGAGGCGGCAAUGGCGCCGAUGAAAAUCGCGAAAGGGAAGCCGGUUAACAUUCUGGCGCAUGGGCACGGACGUAGUGGUGACACGCAAUCUUUUUGUUUGCAUGAUGGGGUGGGGGCGAGCACGCUGGCGAGCGCCUCGGGCAGAGUUGUCUUUUCUGUUUAAAUUUCUCAAAAAACUUUUGUGGCUGGUGUGGAAGAACGUUACGUUGAGAAACACAGCCCGGGAUGAAGAGCGUUGCGAUUUUUGCAGCGUCCGGAGCGCGCUCGACGGCCCUUGAAAACUCGUUCUCCCAAUAGCUUCUUUUUCUUUUAUUGGAAAGGGCUGAAAGUCCGUGGCAUGGCGUACCGAUAUCCGCAUCAGGUCCCCAGGUCUCAAACACUCUGCUCAAUAUGAAUAAUGCAGGUAAGGGAAGUCGGCA
This 708-nucleotide ribosomal RNA is filed under the name Hildenbrandia rubra. Its description in RNAcentral is "eukaryotic LSU rRNA". It matches the Rfam family "Eukaryotic large subunit ribosomal RNA", at positions 1264 to 1919 of the family's 3401-position model. The record is from RNAcentral. Lineage: Eukaryota; Rhodophyta; Florideophyceae; Hildenbrandiales; Hildenbrandiaceae.